CUGUCUUCCUCCUUUCAAAGUCCACCUGACGUGGACUGGUGGGACGUCCAUUCCUUCCUGACCGAAAGGCAAUUACUCCAUGUCAUGUUUCUCUACUACAGGAAAAUGGCAGAGGCAGGGAGGAGGAAAGCUGGUCUACUAUGGGGAGAUCUUCCAGAAUCAGCUGUGGUAGAGACGAGUGGAUGGCCGCACACAGAAAUACUAAUAGACGGAGAUAUGGAUGGGCUGCCUCUCCAUCUUUGCUGGAAUCCUCCCUGGGACAGAAGAGACUGACAAACACUCCCCAGCCUCCUCUUUCCUGGAUCAUCUGGACCGGCAGUUACCCAGCCAACAUACAGCCCAGACCAAGUCCCCAGGGCUCCGAUAAAGGGAGCCUAUGAAUGUUAAAUACAUCACAGAUGAAAAAUACAAUUAGGAAAUUAAAAGAAAAAUAUACCCCCUUACUUUUAUUUAAUUUGACAUUAAGAAAAAUGGACAGUUAUUUGCACACAUCCUUGUAUGUGUGCAAGUUUAAGAGAAAACUAUUGCUUCUAAAAAUACGACAAAGUUUCUUUCCCUGUCUUCUCUUUAAGCCUCAGAACCUAUUAUCUUCAAAGAAAGAGGCAAGAGGGGCUGGUGCUGUGGUCUAGUGGGUAGAGCUUCUGCUUGUCAUGCCAGCAUCCCAUAUGGGCACUGGUUCUAGUCCCAGCUGCUCCUCUUCCAAUCCAGCUCUCUGCUCUGGCCUGGGAAAACAGUAGAAGAUGGCCCAAGUCCUUAGGCCUCUGCACCAGUGUGGGAGACCUGGAAGAAGCUCCUGACUCCUGGCUUUGGAUUGGCACAGCUCUGGCCAUUGCAUCCAUUUGGAGAGUGAACCAUCAGAUGAAGACACCUCUUUCUCUCUCUCUCUCCCCCUGCCUCUCUGUAGCUCUACCUUUCAAAUAAAUAAAUAAAACUUUAAAAAGAGACAGGAAAUUUUCUUCAAGAUUUUACUGUUUUUUAAUAAUGCUCUUGACAAAAUAGUGAAGCUGAUAUAUGAAGCAUGUCAAAGUGUUCAUUACCGAUGGUACCUGCUGGGAUUAUUUCUUUGUCUCUUUCUUAAAAACACUAGACAUAAAUGACAGAAUGAGACACCUAUCUCCUUAUGUUAUCAAGCAGAGGAGUGAAGGUAAAAUGUAAAGUAAUGUAAAUAUAUGGUGUUUGAGUAGUUGAACAUUCUUGAUUUCUUUCACAUUAUAAUAUUUGAAAUGAAAGAAAAUGACAAUAGUCAAGGCUAGCAUUAUAUGUCUUAUAACAGUAAUAGACAAUAGCAUGGAAAACCUAAACUUUGUAAUAGCUGUAUAAAUAUUUGUGUAUAUGUGUAUAUAAAUAUGUGUAUGUGUUUAUACAUAUAUAAAAUAUCUGGCAGAUUA
Molecule: non-coding RNA, 1388 nt
Organism: Oryctolagus cuniculus (rabbit)
Lineage: Eukaryota; Metazoa; Chordata; Mammalia; Lagomorpha; Leporidae
Source: RefSeq, a predicted model, not a curated record